This 483-nucleotide ribosomal RNA is filed under the name uncultured bacterium. Its description in RNAcentral is "partial 16S ribosomal RNA". It matches the Rfam family "Bacterial small subunit ribosomal RNA", at positions 28 to 523 of the family's 1533-position model. The record is from RNAcentral.
GACGAACGCUGGCGGCGUGCUUAACACAUGCAAGUCGAACGGUGAAGCCCAGCUUGCUGGGUGGAUCAGUGGCGAACGGGUGAGUAACACGUGAGUAACCUGCCCCUGACUCUGGGAUAAGCCUUGGAAACGAGGUCUAAUACCGGAUACGAGGCGCUCGUGCAUGCGAAGUGCCUGGAAAGAUUUAUCGGUCAGGGAUGGACUCGCGGCCUAUCAGCUGGUUGGUGGGGUAACGGCCUACCAAGGCGACGACGGGUAGCCGGCGUGAGAGGGCGAACGGCCAAACUGGGACUGAGACACGGCCCAGACUCCUACGGGAGGCAGCAGUGGGGAAUAUUGCACAAUGGGCGCAAGCCUGAUGCAGCGACGCCGCGUGAGGGAUGAAGGCCUUCGGGUUGUAAACCUCUUUCAGCAGGGAAGAAGCGCAAGUGACGGUACCUGCAGAAGAAGCGCCGGCUAACUACGUGCCAGCAGCCGCAGUAA